This 321-nucleotide ribosomal RNA is filed under the name uncultured eukaryote. RNAcentral describes it as "partial 18S ribosomal RNA". It matches the Rfam family "Eukaryotic small subunit ribosomal RNA", at positions 1470 to 1796 of the family's 1831-position model. The record is from RNAcentral.
CCCUUAGAUGUUCUGGGCUGCACGCGCGCUACACUGAUGCACUCAACGAGUUUACGAGCUUGUCCGAGAGGAUUGGCUAAUCUUUUAAAAUGCAUCGUGAUGGGGAUAGAUUAUUGCAAUUAUUAAUCUUCAACGAGGAAUUCCUAGUAAACGCAAGUCAUCAGCUUGCAUUGAUUACGUCCCUGCCCUUUGUACACACCGCCCGUCGCACCUACCGAUUGAAUGGUCCGGUGAAAUCUCGGGACGGCGGCUUGGUCGCUUGCGUCCGACUGCUGAAACUUGAUUAAACCAUAUCAUUUAGAGGAAGGUGAAGUCGUAACA